CCUACGGGUGGCAGCAGUGAGGAAUAUUGGUCAAUGGGCGCGAGCCUGAACCAGCCAAGUCGCGUGAAGGAUGACUGCUCUACGGUUUGUAAACUUCUUUUCUAAGGGAAUAAAGUGAGGCACGUGUGCAUGUUUGCAUGUACACUCUGAAUAAGGAUCGGCUAACUCCGUGCCAGCAGCCGCGGUAAUACGGAGGAUGCGAGCGUUAUCCGGAUUUAUUGGGUGUAAGGGGAGCGUAGAUGGGUUGUUAAGUCAGAUGUGAAAGUUUGCGGCUCAACCGUAAAAUUGCAAUUGAUACUGGAAGGCUUGAGUGCAGGUGAGGUAGGCGGAAUUCGUGGUGUAGCGGUGAAAUGCUUAGAUAUCACGAAGAACACCGAUUGCGAAGGCAGCUUACUAAACUGUAACUGACACUGAGGCUCGAAAGUGUGGGGAUCAAACAGGAUUAGAUACCCGUGUAGUC
This 460-nucleotide ribosomal RNA is filed under the name uncultured bacterium. Its description in RNAcentral is "partial 16S ribosomal RNA". It matches the Rfam family "Bacterial small subunit ribosomal RNA", at positions 338 to 795 of the family's 1533-position model. The record is from RNAcentral.